Long non-coding RNA from Hirundo rustica (Barn swallow), 1087 nucleotides. RefSeq lists it as uncharacterized. The record is from RefSeq and is a predicted model, not a curated record. The transcript has 3 exons. Lineage: Eukaryota; Metazoa; Chordata; Aves; Passeriformes; Hirundinidae.
GGUGCCUGGAUGGUCCUGCAUGCUUUGCUUAUACAUUACAACAUUGUAUUCCCUUUUCCUUGGCUUUGCUUCCAGAAAUCCCUGAACAAACCUGUAAUUUUUUUUGUUUGUUUCUCACUGUCUACCAUUUUUUCUUCUCUAAAACAAUCUCGCUCAUGUCUUGGAGUGGUUACUACCCUGACAGAUAGAAUUCUUGACUCUUCCAUUUGAAUCUGAUCUUGAACAGGCACACUAGCAGGGCACUGCCCUUCAGCUGAGUGCUCAGCGGGUUAAUAUGAAGGCCAUGAGACCUCUGAAGUUGCUAGAAAUCAGCACAGAGUGUGGCCUCACACGUACUUAGCCUGCCUGCCUUCAAAACGCACCUUGCAGCCUGGCUGAGUGAGGAUCGAGUUCCCCUUGGGAAGGAAUGUCGCUUUGGGAGACUUGGGACACACAGUCCCCUGCUCUAUAGCUGCCGUGCAGGACUUCAGUGGGAGUUUUUCAAGCUAGAGCUGAUGUGUCCCACCUGCUCCGGAGGAGUUGUUGUCUGGGGUGCUUGAGCUGUGCUUUGCAGAGGAGGUGAGCUCAGGUAGUCAGUUGCAGGUACAGCUGUGAGGCAGAACUACAUGUGGAGCCACAGAGUCCAUGAUGGCAUGUGAAUGUGGACACAGCACAAAGCUGCCAGGAAGCCCUCCAGAAAAAAAAAACAAAAAACAACCUGGCCAAAUCUGUGUGUCUGCAUUGGGUUUUUUGGGGUUUGUUUUAUUUUGGUUGUGGUUGUUGGGGGUUUUCGGCUUUGUUUUUUUCAUAAAAAAGAAAAUCACACACAUAUAAAUGAGAAACAAAGACGAAGUUUUUGCUUAGCUCUAGAGCUAAACAAGCUGACAGAGGAAUUUCAUACCCUCUAAACAGUCUGCAUUGCUUCUGCUAGCAUUAACAUAUGUGAUGCUCCUGCUAACUCUGACUUGACUCUGGUGUUACCCAGUAUGUUGUUCUGUACUGCAGCACUGACUGCUCACCACACGGCCUAUGCAGAGUUAACAGCUGAGUGUGACUUUCUGUGAACAUAAAAUGUAUAAUGGCCAAAUUUUGCCAGUUGUUAAUCUAA